Molecule: transfer RNA, 63 nt
Filed under: Grandidierella fasciata
Lineage: Eukaryota; Metazoa; Arthropoda; Malacostraca; Amphipoda; Corophiidae
Description: tRNA-Asn
Source: RNAcentral
UUAACUGAAGCCAAAAAGCGGCAGCUCAUUGUUAAUGAGUCCAAUGACUAUUCUCCGGUUAUA